UGGGGAAUAUUGCACAAUGGGCGCAAGCCUGAUGCAGCCAUGCCGCGUGUAUGAAGAAGGCCUUCGGGUUGUAAAGUACUUUCAGCGGGGAGGAAGGGAGUAAAGUUAAUACCUUUGCUCAUUGACGUUACCCGCAGAAGAAGCACCGGCUAACUCCGUGCCAGCAGCCGCGGUAAUACGGAGGGUGCAAGCGUUAAGCGGAAUGACUGGGCGUAAAGCGCACGCAGGCGGUUUGUUAAGUCCGGUGUGAAAUCCCCGGGCUCAAACUGGGAACUGCCUUUGAUACUGGCAAGCUUGAGUCUCGUAGAGGGGGGUCGAAUUCCAGGUGUAGCGGUGAAAUGCGUAGAGAUCUGGGGGAAUACCGGUGGCGAAGGCGGCCCCCUGGACAAAGACUGACGCUCAGGUGCGAAAGCGUGGGGAGCAAACAGG
Molecule: ribosomal RNA, 429 nt
Filed under: Chloroflexota bacterium
Lineage: Bacteria; Bacillati; Chloroflexota
Description: Chloroflexi bacterium partial 16S ribosomal RNA
Rfam family: Bacterial small subunit ribosomal RNA
Source: RNAcentral